GGGCGCUUGGUCUAGGGGUAUGACGCAUCAUUUGCACUUCCGAUAAGGAGGAAAUGUUGAUGAGGCCCCGGGUUCGAUUCCCGGAGUGUCCA
Molecule: transfer RNA, 92 nt
Filed under: Talaromyces rugulosus
Lineage: Eukaryota; Fungi; Ascomycota; Eurotiomycetes; Eurotiales; Trichocomaceae
Description: Penicillium rugulosum tRNA
Rfam family: tRNA
About the family: Transfer RNA (tRNA) molecules are approximately 80 nucleotides in length. Their secondary structure includes four short double-helical elements and three loops (D, anti-codon, and T loops). Further hydrogen bonds mediate the characteristic L-shaped molecular structure. tRNAs have two regions of fundamental functional importance: the anti-codon, which is responsible for specific mRNA codon recognition, and the 3' end, to which the tRNAs corresponding amino acid is attached (by aminoacyl-tRNA synthetases). tRNAs cope with the degeneracy of the genetic code in two manners: having more than one tRNA (with a specific anti-codon) for a particular amino acid; and 'wobble' base-pairing, i.e. permitting non-standard base-pairing at the 3rd anti-codon position.
Source: Rfam by way of RNAcentral